Molecule: ribosomal RNA, 497 nt
Filed under: uncultured bacterium
Lineage: Bacteria
Description: partial 16S ribosomal RNA
Rfam family: Bacterial small subunit ribosomal RNA
Source: RNAcentral
GAUGAACGCUGGCGGCGUGCCUAAUACAUGCAAGUCGAGCGAACAGACGAGGAGCUUGCUCCUCUGACGUUAGCGGCGGACGGGUGAGUAACACGUGGAUAACCUACCUAUAAGACUGGGAUAACUUCGGGAAACCGGAGCUAAUGCCGGAUAAUAUAUUGAACCGCAUGGUUCAAUAGUGAAAGACGGUUUUGCUGUCACUUAUAGAUGGAUCCGCGCCGCAUUAGCUAGUUGGUAAGGUAACGGCAUACCAAGGCAACGAUGCGUAGCCGACCUGAGAGGGUGAUCGGCCACACUGGAACUGAGACACGGUCCAGACUCCUACGGGAGGCAGCAGUAGGGAAUCUUCCGCAAUGGGCGAAAGCUUGACGGAGCAACGCCGCGUGAGUGAUGAAGGUCUUCGGAUCGUAAAACUCUGUUAUUAGGGAAGAACAAAUGUGUAAGUAACUAUGCACGUCUUGACGGUACCUAAUCAGAAAGCCACGGCUAACUACGUG